CCAGCUCCUCAAAACCUUCAGCCAUGGUUUUUCUUGAUGUGUGCAUGAUAGCAAACCCUGCCUGAGCAAAACCCUAAUCUUGUCUGUAGCACAUAAAAUCUUUUGUCUCACACCUGGUCACAUUUUGUCACUUAACUACUUAUAGUAUUUCUGAAAAUAGUAAGUUGACUACCUGUACACACUAUUUCUGUCACCCUGUCACUAUCUAUACUAUUUGCAAGCAUUGCCACCUACUACUUUUUCAAAUCUAUCAAUUAUAUAUUGAUGAGACCCACUAAUUCACCCACUUUUCUUCCUCCUCUCACUACUUUAUCUCACUACUUUAUACUUACUUUAUACACUUUUCUUAAUCUUCGUGUACAACCCAUAUGUACACUUAUCAGAGGGACGGAGGGAGUACUUAAUAAAAAAACAAAAGUGAAGCGAUCAAUCCUAAUCAAGUGUAAUUAACUCCAUCACUAUUAAGUUAUAAGUAGUUGAGCAUUUGUAAUCACAUACUUGUUUUGUUCGAGUUAUUUUUACAUAUACGUAUAUAUGAUUCAGCACUUAGAAUUACACUCUUGUUGUCUUCCAUUACACAAACAUAAACGGCCUAGAGACUUCAUUAUCUAUGAUCGGCACCAAUGACCAUCACUCAUUUGAUGUCGACUACAAGUUGCCCAUUUAAAUUUAUUUCUUUGAGAGCCCGUUUACAUUACCUUCUCAAAUUCCACAAAAUGCAAUUAACUCUUUUUUAGCAUUGUUCUAAAAAAACGUAUCAAACGAUUAAUUUUGUACUAAAUGAAUGAUUAAGCGUUUCUGAAAAUAAACGGACUAUUAAGCGGUUAUUAAACAGACUAGUAAACAAAUUAAGUGUUUUUAAAAAUUACAAAGUUAGUGUGUGAUAUAUAUACUAAUAUGCAUGUUAUUUAUAUAUACAAAAUCUAAUUUUUAAGCAAAAUGAACUAAUUAAUAUUUCCUCUGUUAGAAUAUAUUAGUCUCUUGAAUUUUUUCCACCUAUUUUUAGGACCUUGACCGCAUAAAAAGUGAUUUAAAAAAAGAUAUUUAUUAAUAUACCGUCAAAUGUCAAAAAAUAUAUGAAGAAAAAGUCAAGCGACUUAUAUAUUUUAACAAUGAGCAUUCCGCUUCACAUAAUUUUGUUAUCAAAACAUGGACUGAUAUGGAAUGACCCGGGUUCCCCGGACCCGGGGCCNGCGACUACUCGGAUCCACUCAGCCGGGGAAGCAAAAACAAAAACAAAAACUGCACUUUACUCCCUCACAUAGAUAAUCUAUAUAAGGGAGUGGGGGGCAAAUGAUAGGGUGUUACCCGGUUACGACCGGACCCGGGUCCUAUAAAGGGGCUCCCACCCCCGAUAGCCUCCAGCCCCGAGAGGCGCCCUCUACGCUCCACAUAACCCGGGUACAGCAAAACCCAUUACUUACCCGGGUGCAUAUGUACCAGCCGACACUUGCUGCACAAGGCACAGACUGACACGAUAAAGACAAACAUAACGGUCAACUACUGGCGAUAGAGACAAGCCAAGGAACAUUCCAAAAUACUACUCCUACGCUGACACCUGGACACGUGUAGGGGAUCAAACCUCUACACGUGUAGGACCAGGAUUCAGGUACGCGUCCCUAAACCCUAAUCCUUGGCCUAUAAAUAGACCAAGGACCAAGGGCUUAAGGGUUACACUCUUUUUACACUCAUUCAUACACACACUUGCACUCAGCAUAUACUCAAACACUCUCAGCCACCAGCAACCACCAGCCAAACACCUUCACCCACCAUACAUAGAUAACACUUUCUCUUAUCUUUAUCCUUCCGAAACCCACGCUUACUCUCACGCCGGAGGCGCUUUGGGGCCAAACCCCCCCGCCGGCGUUGUUUUGUAGGCUCCCAUCCAGCAGCUACACCACGGAACCACCAGUCACGGCGGAGGAAGGACCGGGAUCGGAGAUUGGCGUUAUCAUUUGGCGCUAGAAGGAGGGGAAGGUGUCCUCUGUCCUGUGGUCACGGUGCCACUGGACUCAUCUUCUUCAACAAACCCCCGAAACGGGGGUCCGAAUCACACCAGUAAGCUUUCAUAAAACACCCAGCUCCUCAAAACCUUCAGCCAUGGCUUUUCUUGAUAUGUGCAUGAUAGAAAACCUCACCUGACCAAAACCCUAAAUUUGUCUGUAGUAGAGCAUGAUAGCAAACCCUGUCUGAGCAAAACCCUAAUCUUGUCUGUAGCACAUAAAAUCUUUUUGUCUCACACCUGCACACAUUUUGUCACUUAACUAUUUGUGGUAUCUCUGAAAAUAGUAAGUUGACUACUUGUGCACACUAUUUUUGUCAUCCUGUCACUAUCUAUACUAUUUGUGGGCACUACCACC
RNAcentral lists this long non-coding RNA (2360 nucleotides) under Daucus carota (carrot). RNAcentral's name for it is "long non-coding RNA (DCAR_LNC006490)". The record is from RNAcentral. Lineage: Eukaryota; Viridiplantae; Streptophyta; Magnoliopsida; Apiales; Apiaceae.